CGAUUGUGUAAAGAAGUGUUUUAUAAAAUUAAGUUCUUUUUGCUGUCUCUAUGACAUGUGACAGAUUUUUUGCCAAAAUAUUUUUUUAUCAAACUAUGUUCCUUGUCUCAAAUAAGAUUCUUAAAAUAAUACAAUAGUAUUAAUAGUUUUAGUAGAAAAAUACUAAGAUAAUCUACUAUUUUUCAAAAUUUCGUAAUGAAUAUGACGACAGAAAAUAAUGGGUUGCAAAAUAAUAGUCAAAGCAGUAACUCCCACCAAGUACAUGAAGAUGAAAGCGACGAAGGAAGCUGUUCUUGUGAUCAUAGCACCACACAAGCUCAAGCAUGUGAAAUUCAAAAUAUAAUAGCUAUGGAUUUGUGUUCAGCUGAUGAUAUAAGACAAAAAAUGAAAUCCGUCCUAACGGCCAAAGUGCUUAAAAAACAAACAUCUGAGCCAAUAAGCGAUUUUCCAAAAAAACACGAACGAUCGCCAUUGAAUUCUCAAAAGAGAGAUGGGCCAGUCGAACAGAAAGUUGAACAUUCACAGAACGCGCCAGAUAGCAACCCUAACAACUUAAUUACAUUAGAAAAUGAAGGAACAUCAAGGAAAAGGCCAGGACGACCGCCGAAGGCAGGCUGUUCCAAGAAACGAAAAAUUGUACAAAAAGUUGAUUUUUACAUGGGAAAAUUGUCGAACGUGGUUUAUUUUAAAAGAAGAUAUAAUUAUUAGGACACUUGUGCUUUUUAAUCGAUAUGAUAAUAACAAACAAAUGGGACUAUAAA
Molecule: long non-coding RNA, 761 nt
Organism: Bombyx mori (domestic silkworm)
Lineage: Eukaryota; Metazoa; Arthropoda; Insecta; Lepidoptera; Bombycidae
Exons: 2
Source: RefSeq, a predicted model, not a curated record